RNAcentral lists this ribosomal RNA (253 nucleotides) under uncultured bacterium. RNAcentral's name for it is "partial 16S ribosomal RNA". It matches the Rfam family "Bacterial small subunit ribosomal RNA", at positions 524 to 776 of the family's 1533-position model. The record is from RNAcentral.
UACGAGGGGGGCGAGCGUUGUUCGGAAUUAUUGGGCGUAAAGGGUGCGUAGGCGGUUUGGUAAGUCUGAUGUGAAAUCUAUGGGCUCAACUCAUAGUCUGCAUCGGAAACUGCCGGGCUUGAGUGUGGGAGAGGUGAGUGGAAUUCCUGGUGUAGCGGUGAAACGCGUAGAUAUCAGGAGGAACACCUGUGGCGAAAGCGGCUCACUGGACCAUAACUGACGCUGAUGCACGAAAGCUAGGGGAGCAAACAGG